Cinara cedri is the source of this 247-nucleotide non-coding RNA. The record is from the annotation of a GenBank genome assembly. Lineage: Eukaryota; Metazoa; Arthropoda; Insecta; Hemiptera; Aphididae.
UCAUCGGGAUGUCAGGAGCUUCAUUUUUAAAUAUACGGUUUCGAGAUGGUGUUUUCAAAAAUACUUUUUUUACACUAGAUAUUGGUUGGUCAACUGCGUUAAAAUAUGAACGCACUUCUUCGGCUACUCGAUGAAAUCCGUGUGUAGUACACAUGUUACAUGCGCCGUCUUCGGGUAAAGUGCUUGAAUUGCUUUUCCCGAUUUCACCAUGAAUGGCGCAGCGUCAGACAAAAAUAAUAAGACUUCA